Canis lupus familiaris (dog) is the source of this 3155-nucleotide long non-coding RNA. RefSeq lists it as uncharacterized. NCBI's taxonomy places the organism in Eukaryota, Metazoa, Chordata, Mammalia, Carnivora, Canidae. The record is from RefSeq and is a predicted model, not a curated record. The transcript has 5 exons.
UCACGGCGUGAGCUGUAGGGAGCGCUAGAGAGUCCGUUGCCCUUUAGCCCAGCUGAGGGUAUCUGCAAGCCCCGGAGCUCCGGUUCCCCGGGCUUUCAGCUGGAAACCCGAGUUGGGAGUUACUUUCCUGAUCGCAGUCUGACAAGAGUCGCCCGAGUCUUGGAAAGGUUUCGGUAAACAGGCACUUAGACCUCGGGUCGGCUUAUUUCUUGGGAACGUGGUCUAUGUAAUAACGAUCAGGAAAAUAAUUUGUGAGGAAAGGGAGGGAUUAUAAAUGCGCUGAGGUUAGGAUUGUUUAUGUGAUUUUAAAUGUUUUUAAAUUUAUUUAUUUAUUUAUUUAUUUAUUUAUAGAUCCUACAAACUCAAAGGAAGAGAAACACCCCCCCCCCCAAGAGGAAUUAUCUUCCGUAUCUGGUCCCCUCACCAUAAUCUGUCCCCAAGGAAAACGCGUUUUGUUGUUGUUGUUGUUGUUGUUGUUUUUGGUUUUUUUUUUUUUUUUUUUUUUUUUAUUCCCUAGCUUUUGUCGUGAAGACGGAAAAAGUACCCUUUCUCACUUGGCUCCGGCUCUCCCUUUUGUUUUUUCAUUUUAUGUAGGUGGCAAAACAGUUUACCUGAUUCUCCAGUCUUCAGACCUUUGGGUGACUUCUCUCUUAUUUGAGUUUGAUCGAUUGCUGUCUAGGCGUGAGAUGGGGCUACGGGAGACGAAUUUUCCUACUUGUAAUGUCAGGAGCUUUCCUUAAUGUGCCAUAUCCUCUUCAUUCUUGUGAUGGCAUCUGCUCUGCUCCCUUUCUUGGAGCCGUGAUGGCUGAUGGAGUGCAAGAGAGAAACUAGUUUAACGAACCGAAUUUCCAAGCAUUGAGAGAAGAUGAAGCCAAAUGAUAGAAGUGUAUUAUGGAAGAACUGGUAGGUGACCAACAUGUGGGCAGAUGUCAGAGAGGAGGACAAACAGGGAGCCCUGCCACUUACUGGCCAUCUGGAUUUGGGUCGUGAUUUUGGGGUUGUGAGAUCAAGCCCCUCAUUGGGCUCCACACUGAGGAGGAAGUCUGCUUGAGAUUCCCUCCCUCUCCCUCUAUCCUGUUACCCCCCAUUUAUUUAACAAGAAAUAAAAUCUUGAGAAAAAAAAAACUACGCAAACAUUAUAUGUAGGGAAGUGAGUAAGGUACUUGUUGUCUAGGCACUAGGAAACGUGCCUAGAAAAUGAAUAUUACUAGAAAUAUUUUUACAAGUUACAUGCAAGAUAACACCAAAGGGAAGAGUUGGGCAGACCAACAGCAGGUGAAGAUCAGGCAUGAGUUGGUGGGAGACCUCCCUGUGGGAUUUCUCCGCUCAGGCAGUAUUUGAACUGAGCAUCUUAUGGCAGAUGCAGAAUGCUCUGGCAUUUUUUUCACUAUGGGAACCUCUCAAGUGAAAGUCUAAGGAUUGGUGAGGAAACGAAUGCAUAGGCCUAUAAAGAAAAAGAAAAGACAGCACUUGGAGGUUCAUCUGUGUUAGUGGAAGAAUUGGCUGUGUUUAAGUAACAGGUUAAAAUUUUAAAACUUACUUGGGCCUCCUUGAAAGGAAUAGGGAGGAUAAAAAGACAUGGAACAGGAGCAGAGAAAGAAAAGGCAGAAAUUAAUACACGAAGUAGUAUAAGUUACUCAAGGACUGAAGAAUCUGAAAGCUGGAGGAAGUGGGGUUUUGGAGAGGAGCACAUGUCAGAGGAUAUAUUAGACCCCUCUGCAAUCCUGAGAUUAUCACUUUUGGAAGCAUCAAUAGAAGCUUCAGAUUCAGGAAUCUGUGGAGAGUAAUAAUCCAGCUAAGAUACAUUUCAGGAUCUUGCCAGCAAGGUCAAUAGAUCUAAGGACUUCUAGAGUAGGAAACAGGGCAGCAGCUGUGUCAUCAAGUUUAAGAAGUCUUGGGCCUGGAGUGGACAAAUGCAGGGAAGAUCAGCUGCAAGGCUACAAGCAUUGGACUACAGGAUUACCUAUUCAAAAUGUGGGGUGCUGUGUUCACAUGUGGAGAAGUAAACUCACUUGUUAGAGACCUGGCUCCAUUUGAUGUUGGCCUUUCAGGCUAGAAACACCAGACUCCUAAAGGAAAUAGAAGAAAUAGAAGAGCUCAAAACACUUGAAGGAUACCAAGAGAAAGAAGAUUUGCGCGUGAUCUAGACAUCAGAGGUGCUGCCACUGAAAACCUAGCUUUAUCCUAAAAUCAGCAACUCUCAUGAACACAAGAUGGUUACCUACAACAGCUCCAAAAAGUACAUGUUCCCUCAUCCACAUCUAGAGCAAAUGAAUUAGUCCCAGCAGCCCCGCAAGUAUCCUGAUAUUCACUUGCUUGAAUCACAUGCCUGCCCUGGAACCAAAAGUCGUGCAUGGGAAGAUGGAAUGUGAUGGUUGGUUUCAACUAACCAGGCAGUGGGUCAGCUUCCCUGGAAGCACCUGGGCUGCAUGGGGAGAGGCAGAUUCCUCAAAUGACAAUCAAGAGACUGUGGAAGAGAGAAAGCAGAGCUUAAGACACUAAAGAGACUACCAACAAAAGUACAUUUUGUAGCUAUUAUCAUUAUUAUUGGCUUUCUUGGCUCUUAGCCCUUGGCUCUUGGCUAUUUCUUUGGAAAUCAUUAAAAAAAAAAAACAGUAAGAUCUUAUUUUGAGUAAGUGUAUUCUUUCUAGCAAAGGAAGAUCAAUAAGUAUAAAGGUAAGUUUAAUGUAACGGCCAUUAGGAAUCUGGAACACCAGCCAAACAAGCAGCAAAAUGCAUUGAAUAAAGAUGUCUAUCAGGAACAAAUGUCAGAGAUGGAGAGCAAGGAGGAAGCUAGAUGGUAACUUGCCCAAGUGCCCAACCCAGAGGGUGAGAUUAGUUACCGGGCUACUCUUUACUGGUGCCAGGUUAGAAGCCCAUGACAUAGGUCGGGACAAGAGCGGUAUUCCCCAAAGCAGAGUUGCGAGAAGAAAAAUCUAAUUAAAACCCAAUUUUUACUGCUCUGCCUGUGCCUUUGCAGCCACUAUCUGCCCCUCUGUAAGAUUCCUCUCUUUUUGAUCCAGCCCCCAUCUAAUGACUCACUGAUUUCUGCCAAUUUUAUUUCUGUCCCUUCUGCCAAGAAGGCUCUCCCGCAUUCCUUUGCUGCAUUUCAUCUGGCUAAUUUCUACUUACUGGUUAAGACUUUAAACUGUGUC